RNAcentral lists this ribosomal RNA (250 nucleotides) under uncultured bacterium. RNAcentral describes it as "partial 16S ribosomal RNA". It matches the Rfam family "Bacterial small subunit ribosomal RNA", at positions 524 to 773 of the family's 1533-position model. The record is from RNAcentral.
UACGAAGGGGGCUAGCGUUGUUCGGAAUCACUGGGCGUAAAGCGCACGUAGGCGGACUGUUAAGUCAGGGGUGAAAUCCUGGGGCUCAACCCCAGAACUGCCCUUGAUACUGGCGGUCUUGAGUGUGGGAGAGGUUGGUGGAACUCCGAGUGUAGAGGUGAAAUUCGUAGAUAUUCGGAAGAACACCAGUGGCGAAGGCGGCCAACUGGCCCAUUACUGACGCUGAGGUGCGAAAGCGUGGGGAGCAAAC